Molecule: ribosomal RNA, 503 nt
Filed under: uncultured bacterium
Lineage: Bacteria
Description: partial 16S ribosomal RNA
Rfam family: Bacterial small subunit ribosomal RNA
Source: RNAcentral
AUUGAACGCUGGCGGCAGGCUUAACACAUGCAAGUCGAGCGGGGUGAUGGUGCUUGCACUAUCACUUAGCGGCGGACGGGUGAGUAAUGCUUAGGAAUCUGCCUAUUAGUGGGGGACAACAUCUCGAAAGGGAUGCUAAUACCGCAUACGUCCUACGGGAGAAAGCAGGGGAUCACUUAUGACCUUGCGCUAAUAGAUGAGCCUAAGUCGGAUUAGCUAGUUGGUGGGGUAAAGGCCUACCAAGGCGACGAUCUGUAGCGGGUCUGAGAGGAUGAUCCGCCACACUGGGACAGAGACACGGCCCAGACUCCUACGGGAGGCAGCAGUGGGGAAUAUUGGACAAUGGGGGGAACCCUGAUCCAGCCAUGCCGCGUGUGUGAAGAAGGACUUAUGGUUGUAAAGCACUUUAAGCGAGGAGGAGGCUCUUUUGGUUAAUACCCAAGAUGAGUGGACGUUACUCGCAGAAUAAGCACCGGCUAACUCUGUGCCAGCCGCCGCGGUAA